Molecule: long non-coding RNA, 679 nt
Organism: Dermacentor andersoni
Lineage: Eukaryota; Metazoa; Arthropoda; Arachnida; Ixodida; Ixodidae
Source: RefSeq, a predicted model, not a curated record
UGUACAGAUCCAAUCCAGAGGAGUGGCAGCUGCGCACGCUGGGCCUUGAGGAUAUAAGAAGCUCACCGCAAGAUGCGCUCGGCUACUUCCUUUUCAGAAACCGCACCGCACCGUUCCUACUUCAAGCGGUGACUACAUUCCUGCUGCUAGCGUCCCAGCGAUUGCCAAAUGGAAGUCAGAAGAAUGAAUCGGCGGAAUGCGGCUUUGAGAAUUGCCAGGCAAAGGCAGAACAGGCUCCGGAUGCAGGAGGACGUUAGAGUUGAAUUCAGGCCGGCACCUGGUUUCUCCUUUCUCGAUAUGGCAAGGGCACCUGUGCGACUCUUCCUUGAUGCCCUGAUGGUACCUCUGCGCUUCAUGUCAGACAUUCUGCAGGAAUUUUUCGUGGCCAUGGUGUCAUUCUACAGCCGUUCGUGGGUGAUCCUGCAGGCAGACUUGUAAAAGCCCCGUCACUGAAGAGCCCCUGACCUUUCCUGCGAAAUGCACCUUAAAAAAAAAAGAAACUGCCAAGGACACACAGAGGGUCCCGCCGACCUGCAAAUUUCAAAAAAAGUCAACUGCACCAUUUUUACCAUGCGCCGAUCAUUUUGGUUUUAAACUCUCAGCACAUUGCCUUCACUUCAGCAUUCACCCAUUCUUGUAGACCACAUGAAGCAAUAAAGGUCAUUUCAUGGGAAUUGUA